Molecule: ribosomal RNA, 409 nt
Filed under: bacterium
Lineage: Bacteria
Description: partial 16S ribosomal RNA
Rfam family: Bacterial small subunit ribosomal RNA
Source: RNAcentral
UGGGGAAUAUUGCACAAUGGGGGAAACCCUGAUGCAGCAACGCCGCGUGCGGGAUGACGGCCUUCGGGUUGUAAACCGCUUUCAGCCAUGACGAAGCUUUUGUGACGGUAGUGGCAGAAGAAGCACCGGCUAACUACGUGCCAGCAGCCGCGGUGAUACGUAGGGUGCGAGAGUUGUCCGGAAUUAUUGGGCGUAAAGAGCUUGUAGGCGGUUUGUCGCGUCGAAAGUGUAAACUCAGUGCUUAACGCUGAGCCUGCUUUCGAUACGGGCUGACUAGAGGAAGGUAGGGGAGAAUGGAAUUCCCGGUGGAGCGGUGGAAUGCGCAGAUAUCGGGAGGAACACCAGUGGCGAAGGCGGUUCUCUGGACCUUUCCUGACGCUGAGAAGCGAAAGCGUGGGUAGCAAACAGG